AGAGUUUGAUCAUGGCUCAGAUUGAACGCUGGCGGCAGGCCUAACACAUGCAAGUCGAACGGUAACAGGAAGAAGCUUGCUUCUUUGCUGACGAGUGGCGGACGGGUGAGUAAUGUCUGGGAAACUGCCUGAUGGAGGGGGAUAACUACUGGAAACGGUAGCUAAUACCGCAUAACGUCGCAAGACCAAAGAGGGGGACCUUAGGGCCUCUUGCCAUCGGAUGUGCCCAGAUGGGAUUAGCUAGUAGGUGGGGUAAAGGCUCACCUAGGCGACGAUCCCUAGCUGGUCUGAGAGGAUGACCAGCCACACUGGAACUGAGACACGGUCCAGACUCCUACGGGAGGCAGCAGUGGGGAAUAUUGCACAAUGGGCGCAAGCCUGAUGCAGCCAUGCCGCGUGUAUGAAGAAGGCCUUCGGGUUGUAAAGUACUUUCAGCGGGGAGGAAGGGAGUAAAGUUAAUACCUUUGCUCAUUGACGUUACCCGCAGAAGAAGCACCGGCUAACUCCGUGCCAGCAGCCGCGGUAAUACGGAGGGUGCAAGCGUUAAUCGGAAUUACUGGGCGUAAAGCGCACGCAGGGCGGUUUGUUAAGUCAGAUGUGAAAUCCCCGGGCUCAACCUGGGAACUGCAUCUGAUACUGGCAAGCUUGAGUCUCGUAGAGGGGGGUAGAAUUCCAGGUGUAGCGGUGAAAUGCGUAGAGAUCUGGAGGAAUACCGGUGGCGAAGGCGGCCCCCUGGACGAAGACUGACGCUCAGGUGCGAAAGCGUGGGGAAGCAAACAGAUUAGAUACCCUGGUAGUCC
This 800-nucleotide ribosomal RNA is filed under the name uncultured bacterium. RNAcentral's name for it is "bacterial SSU rRNA". It matches the Rfam family "Bacterial small subunit ribosomal RNA", at positions 8 to 796 of the family's 1533-position model. The record is from RNAcentral.